This 381-nucleotide ribosomal RNA is filed under the name uncultured bacterium. RNAcentral describes it as "bacterial SSU rRNA". It matches the Rfam family "Bacterial small subunit ribosomal RNA", at positions 524 to 901 of the family's 1533-position model. The record is from RNAcentral.
UACGAAGGGUGCAAGCGUUAAUCGGAAUUACUGGGCGUAAAGCGUGCGUAGGCGGUACGUUAAGUCUGCCGUGGAAGCCCUGGGCUCAACCUGGGAACUGCGGUGGAUACUGGCGUGCUCGAGUGCGGUAGAGGAGGGUGGAAUUCCCGGUGUAGCGGUGAAAUGCGUAGAGAUCGGGAGGAACAUCAGUGGCGAAGGCGGCCCUCUGGACCAGCACUGACGCUGAGGCACGAAAGCGUGGGGGGAGCAAACAGGAUUAGAUACCCUGGUAGUCCACGCCCUAAACGAUGCGAACUGGAUGUUGGGCACAUUACGGUGCUCAGUGUCGAAGCUAACGCGUUAAGUUCGCCGCCUGGGGAGUACGGUCGCAAGACUGAAACU